GACGAACGCUGGCGGCGUGCUUAACACAUGCAAGUCGAACGGAAAGGCCCUGCUUUUGUGGGGUGCUCGAGUGGCGAACGGGUGAGUAACACGUGAGUAACCUGCCCUUGACUUUGGGAUAACUUCAGGAAACUGGGGCUAAUACCGGAUAGGAGCUCCUGCUGCAUGGUGGGGGUUGGAAAGUUUCGGCGGUUGGGGAUGGACUCGCGGCUUAUCAGCUUGUUGGUGGGGUAGUGGCUUACCAAGGCUUUGACGGGUAGCCGGCCUGAGAGGGUGACCGGCCACAUUGGGACUGAGAGACGGCCCAGAGUCCUACGGGAGGCAGCAGUGGAGAAUAUUGCACAAUGGGCGGAAGCCUGAUGCAGCAACGCCGCGUGCGGGAUGACGGCCUUCGGGUUGUAAACCGCUUUCGCCUGUGACGAAGCGUGAGUGACGGUAAUGGGUAAAGAAGCACCGGCUAACUACGUG
This 468-nucleotide ribosomal RNA is filed under the name uncultured bacterium. RNAcentral's name for it is "partial 16S ribosomal RNA". It matches the Rfam family "Bacterial small subunit ribosomal RNA", at positions 28 to 507 of the family's 1533-position model. The record is from RNAcentral.